RNAcentral lists this ribosomal RNA (164 nucleotides) under uncultured bacterium. RNAcentral describes it as "partial 16S rRNA". It matches the Rfam family "Bacterial small subunit ribosomal RNA", at positions 355 to 511 of the family's 1533-position model. The record is from RNAcentral.
UAGGGAAGUCUUCCACAAUGGGCGAAAGCCUGAUGGAGCAACGCCGCGUGUGUGAUGAAGGGUUUCGGCUCGUAAACACUGUUGUAAGAGAAGAAUGACAUUGAGAGUAACUGUUCAAUGUGUGACGGUAUCUUACCAGAAAGGAACGGCUAAAUACGUGCCAC